This 202-nucleotide ribosomal RNA is filed under the name uncultured bacterium. RNAcentral's name for it is "partial 16S ribosomal RNA". It matches the Rfam family "Bacterial small subunit ribosomal RNA", at positions 568 to 770 of the family's 1533-position model. The record is from RNAcentral.
UCAGUAGGCGGCCAACUAAGUCCGACGUGAAAUCCCAAAGCUUAACUUUGGAACUGCGUCGGAUACUGGAUGGCUUGAAUUCGGGAGAGGGAUGCAGAAUUCCAGGUGUAGCGGUGAAAUGCGUAGAUAUCUGGAGGAAUACCGGUGGCGAAGGCGGCAUCCUGGACCGAGAUUGACGCUGAACGCGAAAGUGGAGGCAACG